GUCUAAGUAUAAGCAACUAUACGGUGAAACUGCGAAUGGCUCAUUAAAUCAGUUAUCGUUUAUUUGAUAGUACCUUACUACAUGGAUAACCGUGGUAAUUCUAGAGCUAAUACAUGCUAAAAACCUCGACUUCGGAAGGGGUGUAUUUAUUAGAUAAAAAACCAAUGCCCUUCGGGGCUCCUUGGUGAAUCAUAAUAACUUAACGAAUCGCAUGGCCUUGCGCCGGCGAUGGUUCAUUCAAAUUUCUGCCCUAUCAACUUUCGAUGGUAGGAUAGUGGCCUACCAUGGUAUCAACGGGUAACGGGGAAUUAGGGUUCGACUCCGGAGAGGGAGCCUGAGAAACGGCUACCACAUCCAAGGAAGGCAGCAGGCGCGCAAAUUACCCAAUCCCGACACGGGGAGGUAGUGACAAUAAAUACUGAUACAGGGCUCUUUUGGGUCUUGUAAUUGGA
Molecule: ribosomal RNA, 452 nt
Filed under: Cladosporium cladosporioides
Lineage: Eukaryota; Fungi; Ascomycota; Dothideomycetes; Cladosporiales; Cladosporiaceae
Description: SSU rRNA
Rfam family: Eukaryotic small subunit ribosomal RNA
Source: RNAcentral